UUUUAGCUCACCUGGCCCGAAGGGCCAAGUGAGCUUUUCUCAUCACUUGGCGUCCGUCGUCCGUCGUCCGGCGUCGUCCGUCGUCGGCGUAAACUUUUUACAUUUUGAACUUCUUCUAGAGAACCACUGAAUGGAAUGAAACCAAACAUGGCAUGAAUGUUCCUUAUGAGGUGCUGACCAAGUGUUGUUACUUUGUAGCCGAUCCAUCAUCCAAGAUGGCCGCCAGCGGGGGACUUAGUUUAACAUAGGACCCUAUGGGAAAUGCAUACAAAUGACUUCUUUUAGAGAACCACUGAAUGGAAUGAAACCAAACAUGGCAUGAAUGUUUCUUAUGAGGUGCUGACCGAGUGUUGUUACUUUGAAGCCGAUCCAUAAUCCAAGAUGGCAGCCAGCGGGGGACUUAGUUUAACAUAGGACCCUAUGGGAAAUGCAUACAAAUGUCUUCUUUUAGAGAACCACUGAAUGGAAUGAAACAAAACAUAGCAUGAAUGUUCAUUACAAGGUGCUGACCAAGUGUUGUUACUUUGUAGUUGAUCCAUCAUCCAAGAUGGCUGCCAGCAGGGGACUUAGUUUAACAUAGGACCCUAUGGGAAAUGCAUACAAAUGACUUCUUUUAGAGAACCACUGAAUGGAAUGAAACAAAACAUAGCAUGAAUGUUCCUUACAAGGUGCUGACCAAGUGUUGUUACUUUGUAGCCGUUCCAUCAUCCAAAAUGGCCGCCAGUGAGGGACUUAGUUUAACAUAGGACCCUAUGAGAAAUACAUACAAAUGUCUUCUUUUAGAGAACCACUGAAUGGAAUGAAACCAAACAUGGCAAGAAUGUUCCUUAUGAGGUGCUGACCAAGUGUUGUUACUUUGAAGCCGAUCCAUCAUCCAAGAUGGCAACCAGCGGGGGACUUAGUUUAACAUAGGAUCCUAUGGAAAUACAUACAAAUGUUUUCUUUUAGAGAACCACUGAAUGCAAUGAAACCAAACAUGGCAUGAAUGUUCCUUAUGAGGUGCUGACCGAGUGUUGUUACUUUGAAGCCGAUCCAUAAUCCAAGAUGGCCGCCAGCGGGGGACUUAGUUUAACAUGGGACCCUAUGGGAAAUACAUACAAACGUCUUCUUUUAGAGAACCACUGAAUGGAAUGAAACCAAACAUGGCAAGAAUGUUCCUUAUGAGGUGCUGACCAAGUGUUGUUACUUUGAAGCCGAUCCAUCAUCCAAGAUGGCAGCCAGCGGGGGACUUAGUUUAACAUAGGAUCCUAUGGGAAAUACAUACAAAUGUUUUCUUUUAGAGAACCACUGAAUGGAAUGAAACCAAACAUGGCAUGAAUGUUCCUUAUGAGGUGCUGACCAAGUGUUGUUACUAUGAAGCCGAUCCAUAAUCUAAGAUGGCCGCCAGCGGAGGACUUAGUUUAACAUAGGACCCUAUGAGAAAUACGUACAAAUGUUUUCUUUUAGAGAACCAUUGAAUGGAAUGAAACCAAACAUUGCAUGCAUGUUCCUUUCGAGGUGCUGACCAAGUGUUGUUACUUUGAAGCUGAUCCUUCAUCUAUGAUGGCUGCCAGAUGGGGACAAUGUUUAACAAAGGACCCUAUGGACAAUACAUACAAAUGUCUUCUUUUAGAGAACCACAUACUGAAUGGAUUGAACCAAACAUGGCAUGAAUGUUCCUUAUGAGGUGCUGACUAAUUUUUGUUACUUUGAAGCUGAUCCUUCAUCCAUGAUGGCCGCCAAUGGGGGGACUUCCUUUAACAUAAGACCCUAUGAGAAAUACAUACAAAUGCUUCUUCUAGAGGUGCACUGAAUGGAAUGAAACCAAAACAUGGCAUAAAUGUUUCUUAUGAGGUGCUGAUUAAGUGUUGCUACUUUGUUGCUGAUUUACUGUUCAAGAUGGCCACCAGGAUUUUUUAUUAAAUUACAGGACCAAUAUUAAACCAAAUUUGGCCUCACUCAUUAUUAGGGUAUCUGUUAUGAUUUUAAUCUAUUUUUACAUGAUUUCCAAAACCAAAGUAGAAUCAGGUGAGCGACACAGGCUCUUGAGAGCCUCUAGUUUUAGUUUCAUGACAAUAACUUGUGUGUUAGUUUAUGGAUCUUUAUGAAAUUGUAUUACAAGGUUCCAUAUCACAAAGGGAAAGCUGGGUUUGAGUUUGGGGGUAAUUGCCCUAAACAUUUAGGAAUUUGGGACCAAAAAGGGGCCUAAAAACAAGCAUUUUUCUAGUUUCCAGACAAUAACUUGUGUUCAAGUGUAUGGAUCUCUCUGAAAUUGUACUUCAAGGUACCAUACCACAAAGGGAAGGCUGGGAUUGAGUUUGGGGGUGAUGAAUCAUAAGGGGGUUCAAAAAAUUUGGGGAAGGGAUUUUUUUUCCUUUUUUUCCUUUUUUUUCUUUAAAAUUUUCCAUUUUAAAUUGGUUAUUUCUGAUUUAUAUAUAAAAGCAAAUAAUAGUGAUAUGGUUUGAAUAGGUAAAUUAAAAUUUUUUAAGUUCUUAGACCACAUUCAUUCUGUGUCAGAAACCUAUGCUGUGUCAAAUAUUUAAUCACAGUCCAAAUUCAGUGCUGUAUCAAGCUUGAAUGUUGUGUCCAUACUUGCCCCAACUGUUCAGGGUUCGAGCUCUGUGGUCGUAUCAAGCUGCGCCCAGCGGAGCAUUUUAUUUUAAUU
This is a long non-coding RNA of Mytilus californianus (California mussel), 2644 nucleotides long. RefSeq lists it as uncharacterized. The transcript has 2 exons. NCBI's taxonomy places the organism in Eukaryota, Metazoa, Mollusca, Bivalvia, Mytilida, Mytilidae. The record is from RefSeq and is a predicted model, not a curated record.